AUCAACAGUUUUUUGUCUAUAUUGUUGUGUAAUUUGUUGCUUGAGCAUGUUGUAGACAGUACCGCCAUUGCCAUUGUAAUGCAGUAUGUUGGAAGGUAAAAUCGUUGUUUUUUUUUCAGUUUGUUUGU
Etheostoma cragini (Arkansas darter) is the source of this 128-nucleotide long non-coding RNA. RefSeq lists it as uncharacterized. NCBI's taxonomy places the organism in Eukaryota, Metazoa, Chordata, Actinopteri, Perciformes, Percidae. The transcript is spliced from 3 exons. The record is from RefSeq and is a predicted model, not a curated record.